RNAcentral lists this ribosomal RNA (504 nucleotides) under uncultured bacterium. RNAcentral describes it as "partial 16S ribosomal RNA". It matches the Rfam family "Bacterial small subunit ribosomal RNA", at positions 30 to 523 of the family's 1533-position model. The record is from RNAcentral.
AUUGAACGCUGGCGGCAGGCCUAACACAUGCAAGUCGAACGGUAGCACAGAGAGCUUGCUCUCGGGUGACGAGUGGCGGACGGGUGAGUAACGUCUGGGAAACUGCCCGAUGGAGGGGGAUAACUACUGGAAACGGUAGCUAAUACCGCAUAACGUCGCAAGACCAAAGUGGGGGACCUUCGGGCCUCACACCAUCGGAUGUGCCCAGAUGGGAUUAGCUAGUAGGUGGGGUAAUGGCUCACCUAGGCGACGAUCCCUAGCUGGUCUGAGAGGAUGACCAGCCACACUGGAACUGAGACACGGUCCAGACUCCUACGGGAGGCAGCAGUGGGGAAUAUUGCACAAUGGGCGCAAGCCUGAUGCAGCCAUGCCGCGUGUAUGAAGAAGGCCUUCGGGUUGUAAAGUACUUUCAGCGGGGAGGAAGGCGGUGAAGUUAAUAACUUCACCGAUUGACGUUACCCGCAGAAGAAGCACCGGCUAACUCCGUGCCAGCAGCCGCCGCCG